AUGGCGGCACCCCCACACGUACACACAUCGCCACCGCCAUACCCCGCGGCGCCGCGGCUCGGCCCCGUGAGGGGAGAGCGAGGAUGGUGGGGAGAGUUUGCGUCUUCAAUUAAGCUCCACUUGGCCUGUGAGCCUGCAGACUUAAAGAAUGAUCUCACACAUGUGCCAGACAGACAGGGUCUCUCCCAAGUCCACCCAGCAUGCCUUGAAGAAAGGAGGCAAAGUGAUUUUGGAGACAAAAAAAAUACAUAUAUACAUGCACAUGCAGAGGCAAAGGUUGGCAUACAUGUCAAGAGAACAUUCUCCAGCUGGGGCCUGCAGUAUAGAGAAUUGUAUACUCCAGAGGGCUCAUGGGACCUUAGGCAGAUUAUUAUGGUAAUAUUGGAGACUGCUGUCCUUUCCCUCCCACAGCUGGGCCGCCUCUCUCAUUCAUUGGAGAAACCACCCUUUGUGAAGAGGAAAGAGACACAAAGUGAGAACAUGUUGGUUCUAUGUGUCUCUGUGAAUCCAGACAUUUACUACUCCUGA
RNAcentral lists this long non-coding RNA (528 nucleotides) under Anser brachyrhynchus (Pink-footed goose). RNAcentral describes it as "lncRNA (ENSABRG00000016377.1)". The record is from RNAcentral. Lineage: Eukaryota; Metazoa; Chordata; Aves; Anseriformes; Anatidae.